Molecule: long non-coding RNA, 237 nt
Organism: Zea mays
Lineage: Eukaryota; Viridiplantae; Streptophyta; Magnoliopsida; Poales; Poaceae
Exons: 3
Source: RefSeq, a predicted model, not a curated record
AUGCAAAAUUGGAUGCUACAUCAGAUGUACGGAGGUGCCGGAACUCAGUUCGGCAUGCCGCCUUUUCAACAACCCCCUAUCAUCACACAUCCGGUGUCUGGACAAUCAUCGGACCGCUCCACUGCAGCGGCGGAUGGAUCACAGGGUUCUGCAACUUCUGUCCAAGACCAAUUGAUGCCAUCGGGUGUGAUAGGAGGGCAAAUGAUGCCAUGGGCACCUCGCCAGCCAGGCAUUUGG